This 1664-nucleotide ribosomal RNA is filed under the name Salmonella enterica. RNAcentral describes it as "partial 23S ribosomal RNA". It matches the Rfam family "Bacterial large subunit ribosomal RNA", at positions 1180 to 2803 of the family's 2925-position model. The record is from RNAcentral. Lineage: Bacteria; Pseudomonadati; Pseudomonadota; Gammaproteobacteria; Enterobacterales; Enterobacteriaceae.
UUACGAUUGACGGAGCGAAGCGACGUCAAAGCGUAUACAAAGUCGAGUCGGUUUAAGGAUACGUUCGUUGGGUAGGGGAGCGUUCUGUAAGCCUGUGAAGGUGUGUCGUGAGGCAUGCUGGAGGUAUCAGAAGUGCGAAUGCUGACAUAAGUAACGAUAAAGCGGGUGAAAAGCCCGCUCGCCGGAAGACCAAGGGUUCCUGUCCAACGUUAAUCGGGGCAGGGUGAGUCGACCCCUAAGGCGAGGCCGAAAGGCGUAGUCGAUGGGAAACGGGUUAAUAUUCCCGUACUUGGUGUUACUGCGAAGGGGGGACGGAGAAGGCUAUGUUGGCCGGGCGACGGUUGUCCCGGUUUAAGCGUGUAGGUGUGUGUUCCAGGUAAAUCCGGUUCACUUUAACACUGAGGCGUGACGACGAGGCACUACGGUGCUGAAGCAACAAAUGCCCUGCUUCCAGGAAAAGCCUCUAAGCAUCAGGUAACAUCAAAUCGUACCCCAAACCGACACAGGUGGUCAGGUAGAGAAUACCAAGGCGCUUGAGAGAACUCGGGUGAAGGAACUAGGCAAAAUGGUGCCGUAACUUCGGGAGAAGGCACGCUGACACGUAGGUGAAGUGAUUUACUCAUGGAGCUGAAGUCAGUCGAAGAUACCAGCUGGCUGCAACUGUUUAUUAAAAACACAGCACUGUGCAAACACGAAAGUGGACGUAUACGGUGUGACGCCUGCCCGGUGCCGGAAGGUUAAUUGAUGGGGUCAGCGCAAGCGAAGCUCCUGAUCGAAGCCCCGGUAAACGGCGGCCGUAACUAUAACGGUCCUAAGGUAGCGAAAUUCCUUGUCGGGUAAGUUCCGACCUGCACGAAUGGCGUAAUGAUGGCCAGGCUGUCUCCACCCGAGACUCAGUGAAAUUGAACUCGCUGUGAAGAUGCAGUGUACCCGCGGCAAGACGGAAAGACCCCGUGAACCUUUACUAUAGCUUGACACUGAACAUUGAGCCUUGAUGUGUAGGAUAGGUGGGAGGCUUUGAAGUGUGGACGCCAGUCUGCAUGGAGCCGACCUUGAAAUACCACCCUUUAAUGUUUGAUGUUCUAACGUGGACCCGUGAUCCGGGUUGCGGACAGUGUCUGGUGGGUAGUUUGACUGGGGCGGUCUCCUCCUAAAGAGUAACGGAGGAGCACGAAGGUUGGCUAAUCCUGGUCGGACAUCAGGAGGUUAGUGCAAUGGCAUAAGCCAGCUUGACUGCGAGCGUGACGGCGCGAGCAGGUGCGAAAGCAGGUCAUAGUGAUCCGGUGGUUCUGAAUGGAAGGGCCAUCGCUCAACGGAUAAAAGGUACUCCGGGGAUAACAGGCUGAUACCGCCCAAGAGUUCAUAUCGACGGCGGUGUUUGGCACCUCGAUGUCGGCUCAUCACAUCCUGGGGCUGAAGUAGGUCCCAAGGGUAUGGCUGUUCGCCAUUUAAAGUGGUACGCGAGCUGGGUUUAGAACGUCGUGAGACAGUUCGGUCCCUAUCUGCCGUGGGCGCUGGAGAACUGAGGGGGGCUGCUCCUAGUACGAGAGGACCGGAGUGGACGCAUCACUGGUGUUCGGGUUGUCAUGCCAAUGGCACUGCCCGGUAGCUAAAUGCGGAAGAGAUAAGUGCUGAAAGCAUCUAAGCACGAAACUUGCCCCGAG